This 289-nucleotide unclassified non-coding RNA is filed under the name uncultured fungus. Its description in RNAcentral is "partial contains 5.8S rRNA, ITS2 and 28S rRNA". It matches the Rfam family "Eukaryotic large subunit ribosomal RNA", at positions 668 to 961 of the family's 3401-position model. The record is from RNAcentral. Lineage: Eukaryota; Fungi.
AAGGAGUCUAACAUAUCUGCGAGUAUUUCGGUGUCAAACCCGAGUGCGCAAUGAAAGUGAACGUAGGAGCCACGCGCAAGCUGCAGCUUCGACCGCUCUGGAUCUUUAGUCAUGGAUUUGAGUAAGAGCAUAUAUGUUGGGACCCGAAAGAUGGUGAACUAUGCCUGAAUAGGGCGAAGCCAGAGGAAACUCUGGUGGAGGCUCGUAGCGAGUCUGACGUGCAAAUCGAUCGUCAAAUGUGGGUAUAGGGGCGAAAGACUAAUCGAACCAUCUAGUAGCUGGUUCCUGC